AGAGUUUGAUCCUGGCUCAGAACAAACGCUGGCGGCGUGCCUAACACAUGCAAGUCGUACGAGAAAGUCCGCUUCGGUGGGCAAGUAAAGUGGCGCACGGGUGAGUAACGCGUGGAUAAUCUACCCUUAAGUUGGGAAUAACUCAUCGAAAGGUGGGCUAAUACCGAAUAAUACUGCGAAACUACUGUUUUGCAGCCAAAGAAGGCCUCUGUUUACAAGCUUUUGCUGAAGGAUGAGUCCGCGUACCAUUAGCUAGUUGGUAGGGUAAUGGCCUACCAAGGCGACGAUGGUUAGCUGGUCUGAGAGGAUGAUCAGCCACACUGGAACUGAGACACGGUCCAGACUCCUACGGGAGGCAGCAGUGAGGAAUAUUGCGCAAUGGGGGCAACCCUGACGCAGCAACGCCGCGUGAGUGAGGAAGGUUUUCGGAUCGUAAAGCUCUGUCGAGCGGGAAGAAAUGUGUGGUGGCUAAUAUCCAUCAUGCUUGACGGUACCGCUAAAGGAAGCACCGGCUAACUCCGUGCCAGCAGCCGCGGUAAUACGGGGGGUGCAAGCGUUGUUCGGAAUUAUUGGGCGUAAAGAGCGUGUAGGCGGCUGGAUUAGUCAGAUGUGAAAGCCCUGGGCUUAACCCAGGAAGUGCAUUUGAAACUGUCCGGCUUGAGUAAGGGAGAGGAAAGUGGAAUUCCUGGUGUAGAGGUGAAAUUCGUAGAUAUCAGGAGGAACACCGGUGGCGAAGGCGACUUUCUGGCCCUAUACUGACGCUGAGACGCGAGAGCGUGGGUAGCAAACAGGAUUAGAUACCCUGGUAGUCCACGCCGUAAACGAUGUCCACUAGGUGUUGGGGGUAUUGACCCUCUCAGUGCCGCAGCUAACGCAAUAAGUGAACCGCCUGGGGAGUACGGUCGCAAGAUUAAAACUUAAAGGAAUUGACGG
RNAcentral lists this ribosomal RNA (933 nucleotides) under uncultured bacterium. Its description in RNAcentral is "bacterial SSU rRNA". It matches the Rfam family "Bacterial small subunit ribosomal RNA", at positions 8 to 916 of the family's 1533-position model. The record is from RNAcentral.